UCACUUCACACCUUCUACCCCACGAAAGGCAUGGCGCUCCACUUGUUCAUAGACGCAUCUAUUUCUAUUUGAGGCGGUUUUCCUCGUGAUUGCUGAGCGUCUGCUUUGUUGCGUUAAGAUUGCUGAUGAUGGGACUUUGCUCGUUAGUGGUAGAGAUCGAGCUACCUGGGGAUGGCGUCACUCCGUUGGCGCAGAGAAAAUUUGUUGGAGAAUUACCUUUCAAGGUGGCAUCCAUGCUUAUGAGCAAGUUGCCUUGCAAGACAUCAAUUUUUCCAGGGUUUAUAUGGUUUGUGCUCAGGGAAUAUACCUAUGAUAGUAUUUUGUUGUAUAGGAACUCAAUUUAUUUUAGCGUGGUUGUGGCAGUGUCAGCCAUGUGUUACGCGAGUCCUUUUGAGUGGGUUCUUGAUUCUCUGUGUGUUCCCUCCAUGCAACAGGGAAUUUUCACCGUUGGUGAACAAUUUGGCUAUCAGCCUGACCUACCGCUCUUGUAAUCGCAACUCUUGGCCUCCAUGCACUCCAUUUAGUUAGCAUGUUUGUUUUGGAGUUUAGUU
Molecule: long non-coding RNA, 551 nt
Organism: Triticum dicoccoides
Lineage: Eukaryota; Viridiplantae; Streptophyta; Magnoliopsida; Poales; Poaceae
Exons: 4
Source: RefSeq, a predicted model, not a curated record